Molecule: non-coding RNA, 31 nt
Filed under: Homo sapiens (human)
Lineage: Eukaryota; Metazoa; Chordata; Mammalia; Primates; Hominidae
Source: RNAcentral
UCCAAGGUCUGGGUUUGUGAUGAUGAUGAGC